UGGGGAAUUUUGGACAAUGGGGGAAACCCUGAUCCAGCCAUCCCGCGUGUGCGAUGAAGGCCUUCGGGUUGUAAAGCACUUUUGUCAGGGAAGAAAAGGUUUCGGAUAAUACCUGGAACUGAUGACGGUACCUGAAGAAUAAGCACCGGCUAACUACGUGCCAGCAGCCGCGGUAAUACGUAGGGUGCAAGCGUUAAUCGGAAUUACUGGGCGUAAAGCGUGCGCAGGCGGUUCGGAAAGAAAGAUGUGAAAUCCCAGGGCUCAACCUUGGAACUGCAUUUUUAACUACCGGACUAGAGUAUGUCAGAGGGGGGUGGAAUUCCACGUGUAGCAGUGAAAUGCGUAGAUAUGUGGAGGAACACCGAUGGCGAAGGCAGCCCCCUGGGAUAAUACUGACGCUCAUGCACGAAAGCGUGGGGAGCAAACAGGAUUAGAUACCCUGGUAGUCCACGCCCUAAACGAUGUCAACUAGCUGUUGGGCCCUUCGGGGCUUAGUAGCGCAGCUAACGCGUGAAGUUGACCGCCUGGGGAGUACGGUCGCAAGAUUAA
Molecule: ribosomal RNA, 549 nt
Filed under: uncultured compost bacterium
Lineage: Bacteria
Description: bacterial SSU rRNA
Rfam family: Bacterial small subunit ribosomal RNA
Source: RNAcentral